AAGACAGAGAAGGAUGGCCUUCAUUUAUAUAAACCUUGUUACACACCCCUGAAGUACUUAAGGUCUGGAACAACCCUAACGAUAUGAACGAAUAAAGUGAAGUUUACCACGGUUAGAGCUCGGAGCUAGACGCGUACUGAUUUAGUGAUUUGUAAUCCGAAAUUUUACAAGUACAAUGUGCACUUUCAAUGAAAAGGAUAAGUUUUGUAAGCAUUUGAAAUGAAAUAUUACCGCCGUGAUGAAUUCAUGAUUGUUGAUACAUGUUGCCAUGACCAUUGGUUUCACUACCUGAUAUACGAUAUAAACAAAAUUGUUCAUCGUUACUCGGCGUCUCAAAGUGAACAUACAAUAUGAGAGAUAAUGAAACGGAAGAUUUUCUGAUCGGUUCAUCCAUCAAUUCAAACGUAGCAACCGGGAAAAUGAAACUCAAAGAUGAAAAAAUCAAUUUCGCUUGGCGGUGCUGACUUUUUUCGAAUUGUUUUUAAGAAAUAUUUAUUCCGUUUCUAAAAAAAAACUAAAAUGAGUAUCGAUAGUGGAAGCUUUUCUUGUGAUAAUGGUGACAUCAGAACAAUAAAGCGUAGUGCAGGAAAGCGUACGUUACAGGACAUAAUGUAAAAGAAACGCUGGAAAACAUUCUUCUGGCGAAGCUGUAUCGGGAGGUGUUCGAACGGAUCCUACAAACGCACGGCUGUAAGGACAAAGUUGUAAUUGAAUAAUCUGUCCAAACCAGUCUACCGUUCCAUGUUAUGUUUGUUUCUAUAUGAGAAAGAAUUUUUAAUUUAUAUAAAAAUUAUGCAAUAUUAUCUAGUGAAAAGCUCCACAAGUAUAUUAACACUUGACACACAUUACUGAAAUAAUAAUCAG
Wyeomyia smithii (pitcher-plant mosquito) is the source of this 864-nucleotide long non-coding RNA. RefSeq lists it as uncharacterized. The transcript has 4 exons. Lineage: Eukaryota; Metazoa; Arthropoda; Insecta; Diptera; Culicidae. The record is from RefSeq and is a predicted model, not a curated record.